This 460-nucleotide ribosomal RNA is filed under the name uncultured bacterium. Its description in RNAcentral is "partial 16S ribosomal RNA". It matches the Rfam family "Bacterial small subunit ribosomal RNA", at positions 338 to 795 of the family's 1533-position model. The record is from RNAcentral.
CCUACGGGAGGCAGCAGUGAGGAAUAUUGGUCAAUGGACGAGAGUCCGAACCAGCCAAGUAGCGUGAAGGAUGACUGCCCUAUGGGUUGUACACUUCUUUUAUAAAGGAAUACAACGAGGCACGUGUGCCUUUUUGCAUGUACUUUAUGAAUAAGGAUCGGCUAACGCCGUGCCAGCAGCCGCGGUAAUACGGAGGAUCCGAGCGUUAUCCGGAUUUAUUGGGUUUAAAGGGAGCGUAGAUGGGUUGUUAAGUCAGUUGUGAAAGUUUGCGGCUCAACCGUAAAAUUGCAAUUGAUACUGGCAGUCUUGAGUACAGUUGAGGUAGGCGGAAUUCGUGGUGUAGCGGUGAAAUGCUUAGAUAUCACGAAGAACCCCGAUUGCGAAGGCAGCUUACUAAACUGUGACUGACAUUGAUGCUCGAAAGUGUGGGUAUCAAACAGGAUUAGAUACCCCAGUAGUC